AUACGUAGGGAGCGAGCGUUGUCCGGAAUUACUGGGCGUAAAGGGCGCGUAGGCGGCGCUUCAAGUCGUCUGUCAAAUGGGAGGGCUUAACCCUUUUUCGCAGACGAAACUGGAGAGCUUGAGAAGCAGAGAGGCAAACAGAAUUCCUGGUGUAGCGGUGAAAUGCGUAGAUAUCAGGAAGAAUACCAGUGGCGAAGGCGGUUUGCUGGCUGCAUACUGACGCUGAAGCGCGAAAGCCAGGGGAGCAAACGGGAUUAGAUACCCCGGUAGUCCUGGCAGUAAACGAUGUAUGCCGGGUGUGAGACUAGCGAUAGUUUCGUGCCGAAGUUAACGCGAUAAGCAUACCGCCUGGGGAGUACGGUCGCAAGAUUGAAACUCAAAUGAAUUGGCGGGG
This 394-nucleotide ribosomal RNA is filed under the name uncultured bacterium. RNAcentral describes it as "partial 16S ribosomal RNA". It matches the Rfam family "Bacterial small subunit ribosomal RNA", at positions 523 to 918 of the family's 1533-position model. The record is from RNAcentral.